GUUUGAGUGCGUGUGAGUGCACUCGCCACCGGAAGGCUGAGCGGGCAGAGGCCGCAGGCCAAGAGCACGCUCCGGGAGAGGCCGGGCGCCUCCCCGCGGCCUCGGCGCACGUGCCUGGGCUGGGGCCAGGGCGAGUGGCCGCGCCGUAGUAGCUGGGGCGGGUGGGAGCGGCUGGCUCCGGGCCGCGGCCGCCGCCCGCCCGCCGGCUCCGGUGGUUGGGCGGAGGAAGCGCGGGACUCCUCCUCCCCACCGUAUUAACAUGCACCCAGGGGCGGGUGACCAGCCCAGCCUCGCCGCCCCAGCUCGCCGCGUCCCGGCGCUCAGCCUCCGCGCCAGAGGCGAGCGCUGCGCUCCGGGCGCCGCAAUCCCGAGGACACGGCCUCUCCGACACCUCCGGCCCGGCGAAGUCGGCGGCAGCAUCGGCGGGAGCGGUCGCAGCCGCCUCUGCUCCUCUCUCCGUUGCUUCCCGUCACCUCGCUGAGACCCUGUCCGGGCCGCGGGGACACCCUUUUUCGUCCUCCCCCCGAGGCUCGUGGGACCGACGGACGGACGCAGGGAUCCAGGGCCGGACUGCGGGCAGCGGCAAGGACUUUGUGAAUGGUGCUUUGGAUGCACCUUCAGUGGUCAUUGCUCAUCCCUCUUCCCGGUACACUUUCUGGAAGGGACCGGCACACAUCCAGUUAACUCACGUCAAUGGGGUUGUGGAACAGAUCACGCUCAUCUCACUGAGAUCAGAACAGCUGAGCAUUACCUACCACGAAUAACAUCAAGUCAAAAACUGCAAAGUUGGGAUCUUUUCCUGCCUUAGAAGCAAGAAAAAUGGAAAACUGAUCGUCAAAG
RNAcentral lists this long non-coding RNA (840 nucleotides) under Felis catus (domestic cat). RNAcentral describes it as "lncRNA (ENSFCAG00000047208.1)". The record is from RNAcentral. Lineage: Eukaryota; Metazoa; Chordata; Mammalia; Carnivora; Felidae.